CUUAGCCAUAAUUUACGUUGUCAAGCAAUAGUUUGUCCUUGGUACGUUGGAAAUAAAAAUUAAAAAAAAUAAAAAGUGAUUUGAACAUUUGACUUAAAUCUAGGAUCGCUUAAUGAUGUCGUGGCCAGUAACAAUCUGCAGAUUACAUCAUGCAAUAAAAAGUCAAAUAUACAAUACAUAAAGUUAUUAUACUUUAUUUUUUUGCGCACAGAAUGUUGGGGUGUAUUGGACAGAUAAGAAGGAAACGUUUAACCCGUUCGAGGUGGAGGUGACAGAUGUUGACCAGAGAGUGGAAUUCUCCACUUGGACUUACGAACUGAGCCACAAAGACAAGAAAGCACCUCAGCCCAUCAAACAAUUCCGCUGCCCAUUUUUCACGAGUGAACCAACACUGGAGACUAUACCAACGCUUUUGACUGUACUGCAGAGUGUUGACAUGUGGCGAGUUAAGGCUGGCGACGGACCUGUACUGGUUCAUUGCAGGGAUGGCGUGACAAAGAGUGGGUUGUUCUGCGUGGCUUGGACUGUGCUAGAAAGACUGAAGGUUGACCAGAACGUCAAUAUCCUACAGACUGUAAAGCAGAUGAGGAACAACAGACCGGAGAUUAUAACAGAUGUGGGUCAGCUUAACUUCAUCCACCAGGUCGUCAUGGGAUAUCUGGACAACUUCCAAACGUACGCCAAUUUCAGACCAAUGACAACAGUUUCGGAGGCGAUGUAAAAUAAGUUCAGAAAAGAUUCCACUAAUAGUUUCUACGCUAUGACUGGAUUAAUCAAAACUGUUUCUUAUUUCCAUUUGCCAAACUUGCUGUGGCCUCAGUGCUGUAUCUUUGUGUAACUUUAUGCCAUAACCAAUGAGCUUUUAUGUCAAUGGUUUGUCACUGUUGAUUCUGUUGGUGUUAACUAAAACUGUGUUGUGUUGGGUUUGCUGCUCACUUUGUUGUUGCUGUAAAGGUAGGGGUUUAGGACGUUAAGUGUUGUAACUGUUGUGAAAAUGCGUUCAAAUCAUGACUAUUGUGUGCUUAUUGCUGUAAAUAUGCUUUGUUCCUGUAACGGUCAUUUAGAUGAUUAAGUUUUUGAUUUAAUAAUGCGGUUUCUAGGUCAUGAUGAUAGUGCUAUGUUUGGUGUAUAUUUAGGCUUUUUAGAUCAUGAUGAUUGUUUUAUUGAUUUAGUAAAACGCUUUUUAGGUCGUGAUCAUAGUGUUUUGAUUGGUGUAAGUUUUGGUUUUCAGAUCAUGAUAAUAGUGCGGUGAUUGGUGUAAAUUUACGUUUUUAGGUCGUGAUGACUGUGCUGUUGAUAAAGUCAUGAUAAUAGUUAUGUUACUGGUGUAAAUUUACGGUUUAUAGGUCAUUAUUUAUGCUUAUACUGCUACAAAAUUUUCGGGUUUUGAUUAUUUUUGUUUUUGUCAUUAAUGUACGAUUUUGAAUGUUUUAUUGAUUUGAAACUCUGAUUAUAUAACAAGUCAGUUAUGCCGUCAUUACCGUAAAUGUAUUGUUUAGGUUUAAAGGAGAAGAAAACAUAACAAUGAUGGAAGAGCGUUAAAAUGGCGCAUUCGUUUGAAAGACUCCUAUCAUUUUUGAUAUCUAGCAUAUCUUUGAACUUUCUUAGACACAGUGUGUUGUGUGACGAUUUUAUAUUAUUACAACUGACUGGUCAACAUUUUGUAACAAGGAAAGGUUUUGCGAAAUGUAAAGCCACUGGGGUUAGUCAUGCUGGAUGAGAUGUUAUUGAUAUAAAGGUGAAGCUGUUUUGGUCCUGCGAUUUUUUUAUUGUUGUAAUAUCACAUCGUAUAGAGCAUGUUGUGUCUGCUGUUAUUGCGGUAAAGACAUGG
Liolophura sinensis is the source of this 1831-nucleotide long non-coding RNA. RefSeq lists it as uncharacterized. Lineage: Eukaryota; Metazoa; Mollusca; Polyplacophora; Chitonida; Chitonidae. The transcript is spliced from 4 exons. The record is from RefSeq and is a predicted model, not a curated record.